UACGUAGGGUGCGAGCGUUAAUCGGAAUUACUGGGCGUAAAGCGUGCGCAGGCGGUUUUGUAAGCCAGAUGUGAAAUCCCCGGGCUUAACCUGGGAAUGGCAUUUGGGACUGCAAGGCUGGAGUGUGGCAGAGGAGACUGGAAUUCCUGGUGUAGCAGUGAAAUGCGUAGAUAUCAGGAGGAACACCGAUGGCGAAGGCAGGUCUCUGGGCUGACACUGACGCUCAUGCACGAAAGCGUGGGGAGCAAACAGG
This 253-nucleotide ribosomal RNA is filed under the name uncultured bacterium. Its description in RNAcentral is "partial 16S ribosomal RNA". It matches the Rfam family "Bacterial small subunit ribosomal RNA", at positions 524 to 776 of the family's 1533-position model. The record is from RNAcentral.